This 783-nucleotide ribosomal RNA is filed under the name Triticum aestivum (bread wheat). RNAcentral's name for it is "partial small subunit ribosomal RNA". The record is from RNAcentral. Lineage: Eukaryota; Viridiplantae; Streptophyta; Magnoliopsida; Poales; Poaceae.
AUGGCUGAGCAGCCUUCAGCAACCUCCUCGUCUGCUGCUGCUCCUCCUCAGGUGCAAGUGCAAGCUGCUGCUGAACCGGCGACCGAACUUUCCCCGGGUGCUCCUGCCUCGCCCCAUUCCCCGCCGGUUCACCUAGGCGACACGGUGGGGACAACGACGGCAACGGCGUUGGCGGCGACGAGCUCCGGGGAGCCGUCGCCGCGGUCCACUGGGAAGCACCCCUUCUACCGCGGCAUCCGGUGCAGAAACGGCAAGUGGGUCUCCGAGAUCCGCGAGCCGCGCAAGGCGCGCCGCAUAUGGCUCGGAACUUACCCGACGGCCGAGAUGGCUGCCGCGGCCUAUGACGUGGCCGCCCGCGCGCUGCGCGGCUCCGACGCCGUGCUCAAUUUCCCUGGCGCCGCCGCCUCGCGCCCUGUCCCCGCGUCUGCCUCCCCGGAGGACAUACGUGCGGCCGCAGCCGCAGCCGCGGCGGCCGCCCAGCUUUACAGGCCGCACGGCAGCGAGGCGCCUGAUGGCACUGCUUCGACUGCCGCGACAGCGGAGGAGCAGAGACAUCACGGCACAAUAACAAGCGAAGGCGCCGCCGAUGACCGCACGCCGCAGCAUCAGAUGGGCAAUGAGGACUUCAUGGACGAGGAGGCGAUCUUCGAGAUGCCGCAGAUGCUGCGCAACAUGGCGGCGGGCAUGAUGAUGAGCCCGCCAAGGCUGAGCCCCACCGCCUCCGACGAGUGGCCGUUCCCGCCGGGGGCGGGGGAGAGCCUGUGGAGCUACCACGAUCCCUAA